RNAcentral lists this ribosomal RNA (638 nucleotides) under uncultured Pseudonocardia sp. Its description in RNAcentral is "bacterial SSU rRNA". It matches the Rfam family "Bacterial small subunit ribosomal RNA", at positions 28 to 674 of the family's 1533-position model. Lineage: Bacteria; Bacillati; Actinomycetota; Actinomycetes; Pseudonocardiales; Pseudonocardiaceae. The record is from RNAcentral.
GACGAACGCUGGCGGCGUGCUUAACACAUGCAAGUCGAGCGGUAAGGCCCUUCGGGGUACACGAGCGGCGAACGGGUGAGUAACACGUGGGUGACCUGCCCUCAGCUCUGGGAUAAGCCUGGGAAACUGGGUCUAAUACCGGAUAUGACCAUAUGCUGCAUGGUGUGUGGUGGAAAGUUUUUCGGCUGGGGAUGGGCCCGCGGCCUAUCAGCUUGUUGGUGGGGUGAUGGCCUACCAAGGCGACGACGGGUAGCCGGCCUGAGAGGGCGACCGGCCACACUGGGACUGAGACACGGCCCAGACUCCUACGGGAGGCAGCAGUGGGGAAUAUUGCGCAAUGGGCGGAAGCCUGACGCAGCGACGCCGCGUGGGGGAUGACGGCCUUCGGGUUGUAAACCACUGUCGGGAGGGACGAAUGCGCCGCAAGGCGAGUGACGGUACCUCCAAAGGAAGCACCGGCUAACUCCGUGCCAGCAGCCGCGGUAAUACGGAGGGUGCGAGCGUUGUCCGGAAUUAUUGGGCGUAAAGAGCUCGUAGGCGGUGUGUCGCGUCGGCCGUGAAAACCUGUGGCUUAACUAUGGGCUUGCGGUCGAUACGGGCAUCACUGGAGUUCGGCAGGGGAGACUGGAAUUCCUGGU